RNAcentral lists this ribosomal RNA (257 nucleotides) under uncultured bacterium. RNAcentral describes it as "partial 16S ribosomal RNA". It matches the Rfam family "Bacterial small subunit ribosomal RNA", at positions 334 to 608 of the family's 1533-position model. The record is from RNAcentral.
UUUUCCUACGGGAGGCAGCAGUGGGGAAUAUUGCACAAUGGGGGGAACCCUGAUGCAGCGACGCCGCGUGGGUGAAGAAGUCAUUCGUGACGUAAAGCCCUAUCAGCAGGGAAGAAAAUGACGGUACCUGACUAAGAAGCCCCGGCUAACUACGUGCCAGCAGCCGCGGUAAUACGUAGGUGGCAAGCGUUAUCCGGAUUUACUGGGUGUAAAGGGCGUGUAGGCGGGAAAGCAAGUCAGAUGGGAAAACCAUGGGC